GACGAACGCUGGCGGCGUGCUUAACACAUGCAAGUCGAACGCUGAAGCUUGGUGCUUGCGCUGGGUGGAUGAGUGGCGAACGGGUGAGUAAUACGUGAGUAACCUGCCCUUGACUCUGGGAUAAGCCUGGGAAACUGGUUCUAAUACUGGAUACGACAUGUUACCGCAUGGUGGUGUGUGGAAAGGGUUUUUGUGGGUUUGGAUGGGCUGACGGCCUAUCAGCUUGUUGGUGGGGUAAUGGCCCACCAAGGCGACGACGGGUAGCCGGCCUGAGAGGGUGACCGGCCACACUGGUACUGAGAGACGGCCCAGAGUCGUACGGGAGGCAGCAGUGGGGAAUAUUGCACAAUGGGAGGAAGCCUGAUGCAGCGACGCCGCGUGAGGGAUGACGGCCUUCGGGUUGUAAACCUCUUUCAGCACGGAAGAAGCGAAAGUGACGGUACGUGCAGAAGAAGCGCCGGCUAACUACGUG
Molecule: ribosomal RNA, 472 nt
Filed under: uncultured bacterium
Lineage: Bacteria
Description: partial 16S ribosomal RNA
Rfam family: Bacterial small subunit ribosomal RNA
Source: RNAcentral